Molecule: ribosomal RNA, 434 nt
Filed under: uncultured Clostridium sp.
Lineage: Bacteria; Bacillati; Bacillota; Clostridia; Eubacteriales; Clostridiaceae
Description: partial 16S ribosomal RNA
Rfam family: Bacterial small subunit ribosomal RNA
Source: RNAcentral
ACGGAAGGCAGCAGUGGGGAAUAUUGCACAAUGGGGGAAACCCUGAUGCAGCAACGCCGCGUGAGUGAUGACGGUCUUCGGAUUGUAAAGCUCUGUCUUCAGGGACGAUAAUGACGGUACCUGUGGAGGAAGCCACGGCUAACUACGUGCCAGCAGCCGCGGUAAUACGUAGGUGGCAAGCGUUGUCCGGAUUUACUGGGCGUAAAGGGAGCGUAGGCGGACUUUUAAGUGGGAUGUGAAAUACCCGGGCUUAACCUGGGUGCUGCAUUCCAAACUGGAAGUCUAGAGUACAGGAGGGGAAAGCGGAAUUCCUAGUGUAGCGGUGAAAUGCGUAGAGAUUAGGAAGAACACCGGUGGCGAAGGCGGCUUUCUGGACUGUAACUGACGCUGAGGCUCGAAAGCGUGGGGAGCGAACAGGAUUAGAUACCCUGGUA